GAUGAACGCUGGCGGCGUGCCUAACACAUGCAAGUCGAACGAAGCUUGACGGAUGAUUUCUUCGGAAUGAAACCAGAUAUGACUUAGUGGCGGACGGGUGAGUAACACGUGAGCAACCUGCCUUUCAGAGGGGGAUAACGGCUGGAAACGGUCGCUAAUACCGCAUGAUGUGUUCGGAUGGCAUCAUCUGAACAUCAAAGAUUUAUCGCUGAAAGAUGGGCUCGCGCCUGAUUAGAUAGUUGGUGGGGUAACGGCCUACCAAGUCUACGAUCAGUAGCCGGACUGAGAGGUUGAACGGCCACAUUGGGACUGAGAUACGGCCCAGACUCCUACGGGAGGCAGCAGUGGGGAAUAUUGCACAAUGGGGGAAACCCUGAUGCAGCAACGCCGCGUGAAGGAUGACGGUUUUCGGAUUGUAAACUUCUUUUCUUAGUGACGAAGACAGUGACGGUAGCUAAGGAAUAAGCAUCGGCUAACUACGUG
This 483-nucleotide ribosomal RNA is filed under the name uncultured bacterium. Its description in RNAcentral is "partial 16S ribosomal RNA". It matches the Rfam family "Bacterial small subunit ribosomal RNA", at positions 28 to 507 of the family's 1533-position model. The record is from RNAcentral.